AUACUUACCAACACUGGAACUUUCUCGACCAAGAAGAAGAAAGUCCCUGGUUGAGAUGCUACAGCAUUGACGCCAGUGACAAAAGUCAAGUGAAUGAUUUUUCUACAGGGAUCGAGCGUUCGCGCUUGAUCCUA
Molecule: small nuclear RNA, 134 nt
Filed under: Adineta vaga
Lineage: Eukaryota; Metazoa; Rotifera; Eurotatoria; Adinetida; Adinetidae
Description: U1 spliceosomal RNA
Rfam family: U1 spliceosomal RNA
About the family: U1 is a small nuclear RNA (snRNA) component of the spliceosome (involved in pre-mRNA splicing).
Source: RNAcentral